GACGAACGCUGGCGGCGUGCUUAACACAUGCAAGUCGAACGCUGAAGCUCAGCUUUUGUUGGGUGGAUGAGUGGCGAACGGGUGAGUAACACGUGAGUAACCUGCCCCCUUCUUUGGGAUAACGCCCGGAAACGGGUGCUAAUACUGGAUAUUCACUGGUCUUCGCAUGGGGGUUGGUGGAAAGGGUUUUUCUGGUGGGGGAUGGGCUCGCGGCCUAUCAGCUUGUUGGUGGGGUGAUGGCCUACCAAGGCUUUGACGGGUAGCCGGCCUGAGAGGGGGACCGGUCACAUUGGGACUGAGAUACGGCCCAGACUCCUACGGGGGGCGGCAGUGGGGAAAAUUGCACAAUGGGCGCAAGCCUGAUGCAGCGACGCCGCGUGAGGGAUGGAGGCCUUCGGGUUGUGAACCUCUUUCGCUCAUGGUCAAGCCGCAACAAUGGUUGUGGUGAGGGUAGUGGGUAAAGAAGCGCCGGCUAACUACGUG
Molecule: ribosomal RNA, 483 nt
Filed under: uncultured bacterium
Lineage: Bacteria
Description: partial 16S ribosomal RNA
Rfam family: Bacterial small subunit ribosomal RNA
Source: RNAcentral